GGAGCCGGGAAGACCGUUGCCGUCCUGCACUCAAUUUUGGAGACCAGAUAGUGCAUAUCCUGUUCUGCUGCCAAUGAUUGAGUGCCGGGGGGAGGAAAGUCCGGGCUCCCCAGGGCAGAACGCUGGGUAACACCCAGAGGGAGCGAUCCCUGGAAAGUGCCACAGAAAGGAAACCGCCGGGCACUCAGUUUGUCAAACAGGACCUGUGCCCAAUCAGCCAUCCUGAAAUGACAAACUGAGUGCCGGGUAAGGGUGAAAGGGUGGGGUAAGAGCCCACCAGUUGCCGUGGCGACACGGCAGGCUUGGUAAACCCCGUUCGGAGCAAGACCAAAUAGGAGAGUGAUCGAGGCUGGCCCGGCCGAAACUCUCGGGUAGGUCGCUGGAGGCAGGGAGCAAUCCCUGUCCUAGAGGAAUGACGGUCCACGUACAGAACCCGGCUUACUCCCGGCUCCGUUU
This 456-nucleotide RNase P RNA is filed under the name Desulfovermiculus sp. Its description in RNAcentral is "RNase P RNA component class A". It matches the Rfam family "Bacterial RNase P class A". Rfam says of the family: Ribonuclease P (RNase P) is a ubiquitous endoribonuclease, found in archaea, bacteria and eukarya as well as chloroplasts and mitochondria. Its best characterised activity is the generation of mature 5'-ends of tRNAs by cleaving the 5'-leader elements of precursor-tRNAs. Lineage: Bacteria; Pseudomonadati; Thermodesulfobacteriota; Desulfovibrionia; Desulfovibrionales; Desulfohalobiaceae. The record is from RNAcentral.